UAUAAAUCCUAAAAAAUAGGAUCUUAAUCUCUAUGCUGAGAAGCAAUAUCAGUCAUGAAACUGUUUUCUGAAUUGCAAAUGAAAUUUCGUAUUCCUAAUGAGAAAAAUAAGUUCAAAUAUGUGAAAAGCAUUUUUCAUGGAAAUCUAUCAAUUUUGUCGAAAUUUCUUGUUUUGACUGAAGCGCCAUCUAUGGACUAGUAGUGGAAUUCGUAUCACGGUGUUCUAUUCAGAAAUGUUUCCACAGAAUUCUACAUACUUUUAUACUAUGACAAUUUAAAAUCAUGAAAUUUGAAACGUACGAUUUUCUAUCUGUUGUCUGUGGUUCCCCGAAUUACGUAAAUUUGAAUAUCGUUUCAUUGAUGAAAAAAUAAUGAAACAUAGGUUGAUGGAAAUUGCAAGCUUUAAUUUUUCUACCAGAUUUGCACUAAUGAUUGAGUGGGCGUACUAAUAAAUUCUGCAACUGAGAAUCGCAAAGCAAGUUCAGUAAAAUAUUCACCUUUUGGCAUUUAUUCUUCAGAUUAGUUAAUUUUUCAAAUUUUCUGCAAUAGGUAUAACACAAAAUCUCGGUAAUUACUUUUUUAUUGAACAAAAAAAAAACCAUAAUACAAAUGCAAUCUAAAAAAGUUCUUUAACUUUAGCUGUAACAUUUUCUAAAACAUUUUUGAAUGAAGGAUCCCCAUUCACUUUGAAAAUGCCAGGAUUUGCCAUAUUUUCAUAUGCCUGUACAACACUGAAAGAAAAGUAUUCCAUUAUAAUAAAUAACUAUAUCAAUUAA
Molecule: long non-coding RNA, 775 nt
Organism: Harmonia axyridis
Lineage: Eukaryota; Metazoa; Arthropoda; Insecta; Coleoptera; Coccinellidae
Exons: 2
Source: RefSeq, a predicted model, not a curated record